AUCACAUACAGAUACAAAUUCUAUAAGAUGAAAGUAAUCAUUAUGUACAUCUAAAAUGUACACCAUAAAAAGGAAACCUAAAAUAAAAAUUCUGACUUUUUUUAGUUAAGUAUACUAAUCUUGUAUACAUUUAGAACAAACAUAAUUAAAAUGAUAUGCUGUCAGAAGAUAGAGGUUCGAGCUCUUAUUCUCACACUUGGCAAUCACAUAAGCUUAGAAACCUGACUUUCUUAAUUUUAAUUUUACAAUCAGUGAAUAGAUUUAAUGAGAUAACUUUUAUAAAGUCACAGUGUAGGUUGUUUUGAUCGAAUAUUUUAAAACAUAUUAUACAUAAAACAUAAAAAAUAUUUUAAAACAUUUAAAACUUGAGAAGACUUCAUAAUCUGUGAAAGUACACAUUGACCAGUGUUUCAUAAAUUAAGUAUUUAAGCACAACAAAAGUAUGCCUGUUUUAAUAAAUGCAUAUUAUCAUGUUUACUGGGACACUAACCAACAUCCUAGCAGCCAUAGAAUUUACACAACAACAGCGUUCAGACUAAGUUUUUUACUGUCUGUGAAACUCCAUUGUGCCUUCCUCGACACUUAAAAUGAUUCAGUGGGGGCCAGGGAUUUAGCUCACUGGCAUAAACACCUGCCUGGCAAGCGCUAGGUCGUGAGUUAAAUCCUGGGUAUCAAAAAAAAAAAAAAAGUGAUUUGAUGAAGCUGAGGGUUCAGCCUCUUGGUUCCAGCUCUUCCUGGUAGUAUACUAGAGGUGGUUUCCAUCACUGACCAGAACUGACCAAGUGCAUUACUUCUCAAUAUGAAACCAAUGGCAGUAGCUAAAGAUUGUCCAUGGGAAAUGACAUAAUCAUUGAAAUUGACACAAGUUAAAACCAGCCUUCACUGCCUACCAAGAAGGCUAAAGGCAGCACACCUAUCUACUAUGUUUUUUCCAUAGUGCUACUGUUCUUCAUCCAACUGUGAUAAACUGAGCGUCUUCCAUACAUUUUGGUAGGCAAUUUCGCCUUUCCUCACAGCACAAACUGAAGCUGUGUCCCUCUGACACCAAAAUAAAAAGAUCCUAUCAUACUAGGUAUAAUAAAAGUUGAUACCACACAGAAGCAGGACUUUGAUCUCUUAGCUCUUUAAUCACUUCAUGACACUACUGGGGACCUAUUCUUAAAACAUAGUGAUACUGCUUGCUGGCAAAAACUGCUAUAAUCUUUAUACUAGAGAAACUUGGAUUCUUUAGUUUAAAUUUUCUUUAAUGCAUUAAAGUCAUCAGAAUUUAGUGUUAGUCUUCUAAAUUAAAAUCAGUUCACUGAGUAAGGACAGGCAGAUAGGAAAGGGUAUCAGGUCGUGCCUCUUUUCCCACUAUAUUAUUUGCAGAAAGCCAGAGGUUGAAAUAGUAAGUUGCAGGGGCUGGGGAUUUAGCUCAGCGGCACAGGUGCCUGCCUUGCAAGCAGGCAGUCGUGAGUUCGAUCCCUGGUACCGAUAAAAAGGAAAAAGACAAAAAAAAAAAAAAAAAAUAGUAAUUGCACAAAGCUAAGAGAAUGGAGCAUAGGAGGAGGGACCAUAUUAUUGCUGCUCAAUGAUCAAUUAAUGAACAAGGAGUCAUUCUCUCUUCCUCUUUCUCCCUCUCCCUUUUCUUUCUUUCAGUAUCUCUUUCUGUUUCUGUGUUUCUCUUUCUAGCUCCCUCCUGCUCCAUCUCCUCCUUCUCUUUUUCUCCCUCCUGAGUAUACAUACAGAGGAAAGGUAAGCUGAGUUCACAGCAAGAAGGUAACUGCUAAUAAACCCAGAAAUGAUACUUUACCAGUAACCAUCCCAGAAGGCACCUUGACCUUGCACUUGUAGCCCCCAAACUGUAAGCAAAUUAGCUUACAUUGUUUAUACCACCCAGUCUGUGGUACUUCAUUAUGACAGCCAGACAGACAAAUGCACUCUAGCUUUGUAUGUAUUUCUGGUAUCAGAGAAAUGCUGGAACAGUGACAGUGAGCCUUGUGGAGACUGAGUGACAAAUUGCAAUCUCAUCUCAUUUAUUUAUUGCAAAGUGCCAACACUGUAAUUAAACCUGAACACUGAAGUAUUAGAUUAGAAAAUACAACUUUACAUUACUAUCUUUUGUCUUAAAAGAAAAACACAAUAUUAUGUGUGAUAUGGAUUCACCACCACUGUACUAAAGGGACAUGAUUACCUCAAGGGCUGUAUUAAAAAUGAAAUCUGAGAAGGAAAUAAGGCCAGUUUUAUAUGACAAAAUUUCAAGUACAUUGCAAAUGAAAACAAUAAAUUAGAAAAAGUUUUCACUUCACUAUUUUCUAAUUGCUUCAGUUUUUGAAGCCUUCCUUCCUAAAAUUAAAAACCUAAAAAUUACAAAUAUAUAGCUACUGGUAGAGAUAACUGCCAGGAAUGAUAGUGCAAUCCUAGGAUUCCUGCACUCCAGAAGUUUGAGUCAGAAGAACCAUGUGAACUUUCAAUGCAAAGUCUUGGGUUCAAUCCCACUAUAACAAUAACAACAAAAUAGCGGGUUCCAUAUUAUGCUCAUGAGUUAUUCUUCUUCCCUGAAGUUUCUUAGUAUCAGAGUCAUUAGGAAGAAUCAAGCACAUUUCCUGACCACUAGAUGCCAUGUGUCCUACCUAUAGUGCAAGGAGAAUUACCAUGAGGACCCUCAACUCUGUGUCCCCACUGCAUCAGCGAUGAGCACUGCAGAGGCCAUGGGAAGGACAGAUGACCUGAGUGUAGCCCUUUCUUGGCCUUCCAAAGCUACUCUCCAUCCUUCUCAAACUGCUCUUUGUCUUUUGAAAUGAUCAGUGAGGAUAGUGUCAAGAAAUCUCCAUAGCUCUUCAUUGUCUGGGUGUGUCUGCCCACAGAGUGUAUCAAGGACUUAGAAUGGAGUAGGUAGGUAAGGCCUGUAUCCCGCACUGUCCCUGUCCUUUUCCAGAUGACUGAAGAUUGACUGUGUUGUUGUGGUGCAGAUCACAGCUCCAUAGGUAGCUCUAUUUGCUACCUUCUCUGACUUUAUUUUACCUGUCCUUUUGUUUGUACUUUAGACCUAGCUUGGCAGAAAGCUUCUUCUCCCUAGUGACUGUACCCACCCUUAUUAUUUCCUUAGAUACUGCCUUUAGCUUUAUAAAUACUAUCUGUACUAAAUUCUUCUGAAUUAGCCAUUUCGAGAGAGAUAACUUCCUUAUGCCCUAAUCCUGACAAGUGCAAUAGCCCAUGAGGGACAACUAUAUAGCUGUCAACAAACAAUUCCUCUGCAAAACAUAAUUCAAGUAAGUAUGUCCAAGUACAUUCUCAACUCAGGACCUUUGUGCUGAGUAUUUUCUCCUCUGAAGAAUGCUUUCCAAUUUCCUCAUGAGGUUUUCUCCAGUUGUCAUUUCUGAGAUUUCUUUCCAAAAAGUUCUUUCCAGAAAGUUUUUUCAUACACCAAAAGUCUCCCCUCUCUUCUCAUCAUUGUUCUGUUUUCAUUCAUUAAAAUAUCUGUCAGAAUCCAAAUGUUUACUUUAGACUGGUUAUUGUCAAUCGUCCAUCCCAAAACUACAGGCUCAGUAAGAUUGGAGACCAUGGCUAUAUUACCACAUCCUAUGUGUCCAUAACUAGACCUGGGCACAGGUCAAUAAUUGUACUUGUCCACCCCACACGCCUCGCUUCUUCUAUACAAAUUCAUACGUUCACAAUACCUUCUCCACAAUGCACAGAUAAUAUUAGUCUAGUUUAUAACCUAAUUUAAUUGUUGGUUCAUGCAGACUCCUUGGAUAAUAUUUUCACUGAAUUACAUGCAUAAAAAUUUUGGAAGUAGUAACUAAGGCCAUACUAUUAUUCUACAACCUAGGUUCUUCAGACUCUUAAAUACUACGCUUUGACUAAUGAGUAAACCAAUGAAUUAUCUUAUUAAUAUGACCCAUCAUUCUAAAGAAAGAAAUCGGACUUUGGAGGAAGUGUCUCAAUCACUGAUUUCAUUUGGCCCAUUUCUAAGUCUUUAAAUAAAAAGUAAAGCAUCAAUAGAGAGUUUAAAGAUAAUGAUGGAAUGCUUAGUAUUAAGUGAAAGAAAAACCAAGUAUAUGACAUGUGAGAGGAUUUGAUGGCUUCACAAAGAAGGAUUUGGUUGUUUUGCCUUUCACCUACAGUACAUAAUUACAAUUAUUUUGGCUCCAGUGUGGUACAUGGGGACUGUGGAAGGACUGAGCAUUUUAAGAAUUUUGAACAUCUCUACAGUUGUCUCUGUCUUAAUUACAUGAGAGGAAAGCUUUUAUUUUAACUCUGGCCAAGGAAACCCUAGUCAUAAGACUGUUUUUAUUUGACGGAAUGUUUACUCUGCCGAGAAAGAGACAGGACUGCACGCAGUUGAUGAGCCAGCUCUGAAGUGGUUGUUCACGAGUAGCUAGAGAGAUCCAAGGAACAUGCCCGGAAAAGUUGCCAAAAUUGUCAUGACACCAGGGUCAUAGAUCAAAUCCAUGACCUUGAAAAUCUUGGGAAAUUCAUGUUUACAAAACACAUAGCACAAUCAUGAAACUUCUGAAGACGUUCUCCAAACAGUCAUCUAUUCCAAAUAGCUACGUAGUAUUUCACUAUGAAUAAGAUGCUAAUGUUUCAAAGGCUAUGAAAUCAAGCAUGCUUAUAUAUGCAGAUUUCAGCUACAGAGAAAUACUUGUCCUGAAUCAACUAUGCAUACCUUUUCUUUGCACAAAUGUAACCCAACUGCCAGGCAGCUGAGAAAUAAAGGCAAACGCUGGGAACAAAGCAUGGCACUAGGGUCAAGAGAAAUUUGAUUCACGAUGUGAAGGUCCAUGCUACUUCUGGCUGACAUGAGAUGUUUACUCCUCAUGAAGGACAGAGGGAAUAAGCAUUGAUUGUGAGCUCACUUGAAAGUCUCUCACACCCAAUAAACUGUGCUGCGUUUCAGAGGUCUGGUUGGGAUCAGCUGAAACCAUCCUAUCAGUAUGAUUCCACUGUAUGUUCUAAGAUAAUCUGGCAUGGUUACAAAUACUGUUUGAACAAUAAAAAAUCUUAUUUUGCAACACUAGGUGAUAAUUAAAGACUGUGACAAGAGUCUGGAAUUCAACAUCCUUGUCUCAGGUCAUCCACUGUUUACUGUGAUAUCUUUCUUUUGGUUCCCUGAAUUGGUUCCAUUUACCUACUCUGUACAAGCCAGUUUGCUAGAAAAUGGAACUAUCAAGAUAAAUAAGAAAUUCAGCACAUUAAAAAAAAAAAAAAAAGAUUUUGGGGCUGGGGAUUUAGCUCAGCGGCAUAAGCGCCUGCCUUACAAGCAGGCAGUCGUGAAUUCGAUCCCUGGUACCGAUAAAAAGGAAAAAGACAAAAAAAAAAAAAAAAAAGAUUUUGUAGUCUCAUUACGGUAAAAUAAAACCUAUAGCAUGGGAAUACACAGGAUCAACUACAUGAGGAGGAGUUAAGUCUUAGAGCUGAAUGAAAACCUAGAAUUUACAAAGUCUGAUCAAAACACAUGAAGACUCCCACUGAAUGCCAUCCGAAAACACCUUUUAUCUUUAGUAUGAGAAGCAAGAAGCAAGUGUAGAACCACAGCAACAGUGUGGGACAAGUUUCAACUUGUUCAUGAAAUCAGUUAUUGAUUGGAAUUUGUUAUUGAUUGAGAAAAGGUAUGUUUUAAAGUGUGCAAUAAACCAUGGAUCACAAACAACAAUUCUUAUUGGAGUUGAUCAAUUUUGCAUCUUCAGGUUCCAAAUUUUACACAUUGUCACUAUGCGAGAGAAAACGUGGGUCUAUGGUUAUGAGCCUGAGACCAAUAACCAGAGUGUCAGUGGCAAUCGUCUAGUUCUCCUUGUGGAAACAAUGUGAAUCAAUCAAGAUUCAACACCAGCUAAUAAUAACUGUGUUUGAGACCUUGAUGGAAUUGUGGGAGCACAGUUUGUAUCCAGUAACAUUAUAGAAAACUUUGAAUAUUCACAGAUAUAUUAGAGUGUUGUAAAGCAAUGCAUGUUGAAAAUGGUCUGAGAAAUAGGUGGACAGUUUCAUGUUCUGAGGGGCAAUUCUCUGUUACAUACUAUUGGCAUUUUCUGUCAAGUAACAUUAUAGUCUGCCCUGUUCCAAUUUAGACCCUGGCACUGUGCAAAGUCAAACUGCUCAUAAAGAUAAUUGCUUCAAAUUUAUUUAGAACACUGAGGCAGCCACUAUAGCAUAACUAAAGACAUUCAUGAAAAGAAAUUUCCAGAAUUGCUUCAGAAAUAGGCAAGAAUUGUGGGAUAAGUGUGUUUGAAGCAAAGAGGAGAAUGCAGGGAUAUAAAGGGGGAUUCAGGACAACAUGCUUUUUCUGUAUUUUUUUAAAUUUAAGCAUUCACCAUAUUAUCUGACCAUACCUCAUCAAAAUCAUCUGUACAGAGCAUAUAGAAGAUAGUACAAUUGCCCUGUUUGAUUGAGUCUUUCAUUUUGCACUUCCAACUUUUUUGUUAUUUAAAUAGUUUAGUUAUUAAUCCUGUGCUCUAAAAAUAUCUGGCCAUUUUUUUCAUGCUGUAGGUUAUCUCUUAACUCUAUUGAUUGCCAGCUAAAUCUUGGAGGCAAACUGUAUGUCCAUCAGCUAAUGAAUGGAUAAAUAAUACAGCAUUUUUACACGGUGGAAUACUACUGUGUCAUAAAGAAUGAAAUGAAUGUGCCUUCAGACCAUAAUAUUUACUGAAAUAAAUCAGGUCCAUAAGUUUAAAUAACACAUGGUUUCUAUUUAUGAGAAACCCCAAAUAUAAUUAAGGACCAGAAUAAAAGACACAAUAGGGAAAAAAAAGAGAUUUUUUUUUUUUUUUUUUUGCAAAAAGGAAAUAUGCCAAGAGACCCUGGAAUUGGGGAGGGAGGAGAAGAAAAUAAAAAGAGAAUUAAGGUUUAUUAUGUAUGUGCACCAACUCUACAUGGGGAAUGUAAUUGUCAUGUGAUCUAAACAUGUACUAAUAAAAAAUAAAAACUGAAUAAAAGCAGAGAGUACAACCUAGACACUUACUUUCACUCUUGACUUGCAUUUGAUUGCUGACAUAUACUUGACACUUUAGUGAAGGCAUAGUUUAUAACCUUUUAUAAAUGUCUUUCUAAUGAAGAUCUGUAUUAAACAUCAAUGACUUGUAAGCCAUACAAUCUCUGGAGGGAAAAAUGUCUCAGAGGUGAAAAGCAUGUUUGAAAUUGUACAGAAAAUAUACAAAUGAAACUGCAUCAUUUGCUUCUAUAGCAUAGCAUUUAGUAUAUUUUUGACUUAUAUUAUCAACUACUUUCUUAUUUCUUAGAAGAUGUAACUGAUGUGUUAAGAAUGUGGCUAGCACUGGAAACCAAACACAUAGCAUGCUCAAAAUAUCUUUUCAACAAUUUUGGGUUUUCAUAUGAAGCUGCAUCCACCAGUAUAAUCUCUAAUGAAGGGGAAUGCAAGAUUGAUCAAACAACUAUAAUGGUCAUGGAAGGAAAAAUAGAUUAAAAACUAAGAAAUUAAAGGUUAAAAUCCUUAUCUGUGUCUCUUAAAUCAUCAGCACACAUGACACCCUUUACAUAUUACUGAAAAACUAAUUAAUUCAUUAUUAGUCUCUAUGACAAAAUAGUGAACACAAAAGACCUCAAAAGUUUUCAAAACAAAAAUGGAAUCCUUUAUACCAACCCCAACAACAAAUAAAUAAGACCAGGAAGUUAUGAAAAGAGAGUCUCAUCAUAACCACCUGAUUGUAACUAUCACAAAGGACUUCCAGAACCAGUCAACACAAAGACACUGCAACCUGUACAAAUGUUCUUCAACAAGGGCAUCUCUAAUCGCUGUGGCUAAGGGUCAUAGAAUUAGCUGAUGGAGACUUCUUCUUUUUACCUUAAAAAUUUCUCCUUGCCUCUACCUUUCUGAAUCUGUAUAUAGUUUAGAAGGAUGUAUGUUUUCCCUAUGCAUUCAGCCAUCCUUCACAUAUCUAGAACAAUGGUGAAUAAUGGUGGAGAAGAAAAUGAGAGAAAAGAAUAGGAGGCGCCCACUGUAUGCUAAACACUUGCUAGAUCUUUCAAAUAAAAAGCAUGUAAUCCUUAAAACAACCCUGUACAUUGUAUAGUAUUAUUGAUUCUACUGAUAAGAAAAUGAGUGUACAAAGAACAUUCACUUGAAAGAAGCAAAGGAGAAAUAAGAUGUUGUUCGGCUCAGACGCAGUAAGCAUUAGAAACUAAAUUCUCCUCCACAUGUUGAUGUAUUAUUUUUAACACAUUUACUAAAAAUCACAAUAGGCAAAGUGCUUACUUAAGAAAUGUCUCUAUUAACUUUUACAUGUAUGCCCAUUUCCAUUGGAUGAGAAAACUGAAUUACGCCUUGGAAAAAUAUAAUGAAAAAAAUCCAGAAAACUGCUUCACCAAAACUGCCUAUAAAUGAUCUCAGUUCUGUUUUGGAAGAAACCACUCCCUGAGGAGAAAUGAAAACUGGCAAGAUUCUUGCAUCCCUGGCACAUUGUUUUUCUAUAAAACUGCAGAGCUGCCUUCAGUGAAUGUUUUACGAACACAAAAGUUGUUAUAUGAAGGUCCUGUGUCAGAAGAUUUCUUCUAUUUUUUUUCCUUGGGAAAUAUUUCAAGUUCAUGAUAUUUAAAGACAUCUGUGGGUUCAGAAAAGCCUAGCAAAGUCUGAAAGACCAUACUGCCACUUCAGUAUGCUAAGAGAAAUUAGUCACUCACACUGAAAAAUGAAAAAUAUAUCUGAACAUUAAAUGAAGAAAAUGUAAAGAGAUCAGAAUGGGUAGAGAUAGCUGUGGUGGAGAGAAACAAAAUUGUGCUCUAUCAAAUCCUACCUAAUAGUUCGUCUUCAGAUCAUGAGAGUUGAACAGAAUUUGGGGGGUGGCAGUUUUCGUUCUACUUUGCCUCACUUUUUAAAAUAAGUUUGCCCAACAUUAUGACACACAUGUUCCCAGUUACCAUAAUAGACUACAUAUGUAAUGUUAACUUCAUCAUUUCAGAGCUCGAUUUGCAGAUUCUACAUUUUAUUCAACUCCUAGCCCCCACCCCAAAGGAGACAGGCUGUUAAUCCCCAUCCUCUGUGGGAAGCUUAUACUAUGGCUGGCAAAAUGUGAGAAAAAAGGCUUUGUAUUCCAGUUGCCAUGUUAGCUGUGAUACACACACAUAUACAUACUCCAGUGUUGUUCUUCAUUAAUUCAUUUUGGAAUUCAUAAUGCAACGUUUCAGCAUCGUCUCAGAGAAGCUCCGAGAUUUCUUUAGAUGUGCAAUAUGUUCACUUUAUAGCAGAGUCUCCAGUUCAAGUGAAUAGGAACCCUUACAUCUGUACGCUUUAGGCUUAAUCUUAAACUUCGGGUCUAGUGUGAUUUCAUAUUGGAAAGCCAAAACGUCUCAAUUGGAAGGCUGAAAAAUCUGAGCUGGAAGCCGGAAGCAAUUGGAGACAAAUGUUCAAAGGCAAUUGUGAAGACCAGAGUUGCUCCAAACAAGUGAAAAGAGAAACUUCCUUCUUUUUUCUCUUUUUACCUUUAUCCAGACUCUAAGCUUAUUGGCUGGUGCACCCACAUCUGAGGUCCUGAGAUGCAAGUCACCUUUGCCCACAGUGGGCAGAAUCUGGUCUUGGAACAUUACGUUGGAGCACAUGGUGAACUUUGGCUCACUUGGCAGAGGUUUGCAAGUUGACUAAUUGAAAACUGAUGUACAGUCAAAUCCAUAAGCAUAAAGUAAGCAAAUAAAGCCUUUUGGAUCAUUGCAGGUAAAACUGCCAUCCGUAAAUCCACAGUCUUCUUUUUACCUGUUCUCUACCUCUCAACCUAUACUAUGCUGAAAAGACAGUCUUAGUCAAAAAAGAAACAAGGAAAAUCAGAAAAGAAUGGAAUAUUCUGUGGUAUUCCUAGUUAACAGUGGCUUCUCUGGUGAGAGUCCCUAGAAGAAUUAAGUCCUGUUUCUAAUUAGUUUAGCCACACCCGACACUGUGUCCUCCACUUGAAAAUUAUACCAUAUGGUAAAGACUACAGCUAAAGAAUAAAUAUUGAUUUUAUUUGAGCUGCAUGCAUGCCCGCACGAUUUCUUGUUACUUAAGACACAGGGGAAGACCUGCUCCCCCCACAGGCUGUGAGUUUAACCUUAGCAGGAAUCCUAUUUUAUACAUACUCUCCACUCAUCCACCCCUAGGCCCAUCAGUAGUAUUUGGACAAGAGCUUGGUACCUAGUUCCUGCUCAAAGAAACUACUUAAUCAUGGAACUACUUUGAACUCUGCCUGAAGAUGCUCAAUUUUUUUUUUUUUUUUUUUUUUUUUUAGUUCUAUCAGCUUUAAGACUAACAAGAAGAAAAUAAAAAUGACAAAAGCAAAGAUCUGUGUCUUACAACCAAAGUUUGUGUACUGGAUAGAUGAGGGUAUUUUAGUUCAUUAGGCCACCUCUCAAUAAACUUCUUUUUUUUUUUUUUUUUUAAAUAAACUUCCUAAUUGUUCCUUAAUAGCCAACUUUAAUUAUUUUCCAGAAAUCUCUCUGGACAGGUUUCCCCUAAAAAUGUUAUAGUGUUAGGAAUAUUUAUUCUGUGGAUUUUACUCAAUGUCACAAACUCAGCCCAGCGCUUCACCAGUGGGCCUGUGCAUUAGAUGCACAGUAUCAUUUUUGUGACUAAGGGCUACUGUUGAGCUAAAUGAAAUGGCUUUUGUAAUGCAAGAUCUCACAAGAGGAAAGUAGAAGACAAAUGAGCAGUGGCUACAGAACCACAAUAUAACCUCAUUUUAAUCUUUAGCAUUCACCCGUCAGUGUAUACAGCUGAUAGGUUGGUAAGCAGACUCAGAAUAGGUCAGUUCAAACCAAAUUUGAAUCAAGUGGUGGCAGCUAGUGAUAUGGUGGUGAAUUUCAGUGGCUACAAACACUGGCUUUGAACUCAGACAAGCCUGCGGUCCCUGCGUUAUCUUGUGUGGUGCCUCAGCACAAAAUUCACAGGGAGAUUAAGGACGCAGCCCUUGGAGAGAAGUAUUUCAGUGAGGGGCACUGCUGGGUCAGCAGCAGGAUGUAUCAUUGACCUUGAUCUUUGAGCUGCAGGUUUCAAUUCUCAGUUGUUGUCUAUUCCUGUUUCACUGUAAAUGAACAAUAUAAUUGAGUGACUAAAUACUAAGUACCAAGUCUCCACUCCUUAAAGUCUGGUUGGAGAGAGAGAGACUAAACUCUCAAAACAAAAACUGCAAACCAACACGGAAGGAGAAGACAUGGAUAAAGUGUGGAAGCAAUGAAAAUGCAAUGCAUCUGCCUGUGAACACCAAAGCGAAGUGGACGUGGGCCUUCAAGCAGAGGGCAGGUGGCUGCACAGGGUAGAAGGAAAAGGAAUUCUUAGGGGAGAAACUAAAAUCAGGGUGUGAGAUAGCUUAAGAAGUGCUAGAAAAUAAUUACUGUUAUAUUCAGAACAAAAGCAUAGAGGAAAGAAUAAAAAUUAAAGAUGGAGUAAAAUAUUAGAAGAAAUCAAAAAAAAAUUUUACUUAUGCUUUAUGUAAUUGACAAUUGUAAGAAAAAAAUUGAUAGGUUUAUAACUGUAAUUUAAAGACUUGUUUGUCCCCCAGAUCAAUAAGUUUCAUGACAACCAAUCAUAUUUUCCCAUUGCAAGGUCUUUAAUAUUAUAAUUCUUUUUGUAUUUCUCGUACAUUGACAGGUCUUCAUUAUGUCUGGAUAUGUAAUGUAACCUAACCUUGUACACAGGUAAUUUUUACCUGGCUGUUUAUCUCUCUUCCUUGAAACUUUUCUGAAGAUGGAACAGGCAAAAUCUAAACUUCAGUUAAGCUUCAAUUUUUAAAUUGCAUUUUUUCUACAGUCAUUAUAGCUUUACUCAUGCAAACACUUCUCUUUACUUCUGCAUGUAUGUGCUAGUACAUGUGUGUGUAUAGAAAUCACAUGGUUAGAGCUUUGAAAUACACAAGCAUGUAAUCGCAUAAGGUGAAAAGGGACUGUAUUUGUAUACAAUCACAAGCUCUAACUAUGUGAUGUCUGUACAGGAAACAAAAUAGGGAAAGAAUCUGCAUUCUCAAAAAUCAGAAACCUGGCAUCCUACUAGAUGCCAACUAAAGUUCACAUUCCUGGCUGACUCUAAAUUAUACUAACUUUUCACUCAGAGGCUUCCAUUUUUGUACCAAUAUUGAUACCAUGUGAGAGGUGAACCCAAAGAAACAUUAAAUCAGGAAAAAAAAAAAUCCUUGGAGGUCAUAUUGGAAAAUAGCUACCAUAUACAUCUUUGUAUUACACUAGAAAAAUGGUCAAGUCAGCCACUGACUGAAAGGGUGAAUAACACUGUCUUCCUAAGGAUCAAGUUUGAAAAGGAUCAGAUUACUUAAAGUUACUUUAAAAUAUAACUUUACUAGAAUGAACUUAUGAUUGGCUAAUUUCAAAGUCUUUAGGUUAGCACUCUCCAGUAGAACUUCCUGCAUUGAUAGAAGUAUUCUAAUCACUUCUCGGCCUUUUGGCUAAGAUCAAGUAUAGAUAAGUGCUGUGUAACUAUAUUACCCAAAGAGCAGCCAUUAGUCAUCUCUGACAACCCAGAACUUGUAAAAUAGCUAACAUAAUUAGAUAAAAAUAUUUAUUUCAUUUUAAUUAUUUCAAAUUUAUUCUUAAAUAACUUCACAUGACUAGGGAUCUCAUAUUGGUUAGUACAGAACUAGAUUUACACUCCUUCAUUUCGAUCUGACAGAUUUAAAUCACUGAUUUUUCAAAAUGAUGUUUUGGGACAAAUAAUAAAGCUCUAGGAUUUAAUUACAUGGAUUCUAAUCUGGGUUCUUCAUUUAUAAGUCAUUUGGCCUUGGGUAUUAGACUUCACUAGUCUGCCUCGAUUUCUGCAAAGGCAAAACAAAACUACUCCCACGGAACUGUACUGAGGAUAGUGCCUCACACAUAAUAAAGUGGCAAAUGUUAGUUGUAAUUAUAAUUUGUGUACAUGUAGUCUUUUAUACCAAAGACCUUUGUUAGCAUAUAUUCUCCAGUAUCAGGUAUUACUUAAUUUAGCAUGAAUAGCUGUAAAACCAUCACGUAACAGAAAAUAAUGUAUUCAGUGUAACUAGUGCAUUUCCCACACAGCAGCUUUAGAAGAUUUUUCUUUGAAAACAGACAAGCCAUUAGCUAGAACAUCUUUUUUCUCCCUUCAAUUUGACAUCAAAGUGUUUUGUUUUGUUUUGCUUUGCUUUGCUUUGCUUUGUUUUGUUUUGUUUUAGUGUCUUCGUUUGUUGGUUUCGGUAAUAUUUCUGCUAUAACUUUGAUGAUCAUUAUUAUGAAAAAGACCAGGAGAGUGGCAUUAACUAAAUCCAUAAAGCUUGUAAGUGUUCAUUUGGAAUUAUUGUUAGUUGAAAGAUAAGAAUAAUGUAGACUAUUCCCCGAGGAAACUAAAUGUUUCAAUUCUGUACCUGUGAAUGUGAAUUUAUUUUAUUUCCACAGCCAACACUAAAACUGUAUUAGUCUCCUCUAGAGGAAUAAGUGUAAGAGCAGUUGCUGGCAUUAAAAGUAAAGCAGCCUUUUCAUUUAAUAUAGACUGAAAUAAAUUCAGAUUGAGUAUUUACUGUAUAAAGAAAAAUAGUUGCAAGGCUUUUAUAAAACAGCACAUAGGAGUGUGAGUUUUCUGUUUUAUUUUAUGACUACAUACACACACACACACUCACAUGAAUACACAAACAUGAUUGUAAGUUAGGGCUAGAUUGAGUACUACAGAGUAUACAUGAUUUAUAAACUUCCCCUUUAUAAUAUAGUGUGGAUCCAUUCUCAUUAUAGUUUCUUUUCUUCCAUAAGAGAAACUGAAAACAUCUUUAUGAAUUUGGUCAGUAUUUUAUGUCUACACUUUGUCUGACUUACACAAUAACACAAUAUAUUGUAACACACCAGUCCAAAGGAUUGCACCAUCUUUGUUUUACAUGUCUCGCUUCCUCAUACCAUGGUUCAGUUUAAAGAAUCCUUAAGAAGAUCAAUCUAAAUAAGUAACAAGUUAGCUUUCAGGCAAACAAAUAAAUUUGCAUUGUUUUAUAUUCAUCAUAAAUAUUUCACUUAAUUACUGAGGUACCUUGUUCAGAAACACAAAAUAACAUUAUAAAUUAAUUAGCACUGUCCCUGCUGAUUUUUUAAGUUCUGUUGGAAUGUAAAACACAAAAAUAAAAACAAGCAGUAGAUCCAACCAGAGUACACAUCAUACGCCAAUGCUAAAGUCCACAAACAUUUCAGAGUAUAAUUUGUGGGAUAUAUUUUCAACCACCAAUGUUUUGUCUUUUAUGAGUUAUUGCCUUAUUUAUUCUCAAAUACAAGGUCAAAGAAACCAUCUGAUCUCUACAGAAACCUUCAUUAUUUUAAAAAUGAUUAAACAAAGUAUAUUUUUUUCACUGCAGAGUAACAAAAUUAUUAUAGAGCUAAAUAUACAUUUUCAAAGAUUUGGGAGUUGAUGGGUGUAAAACAA
Cavia porcellus (domestic guinea pig) is the source of this 14317-nucleotide long non-coding RNA. RefSeq lists it as uncharacterized. The record is from RefSeq and is a predicted model, not a curated record. The transcript is spliced from 5 exons. NCBI's taxonomy places the organism in Eukaryota, Metazoa, Chordata, Mammalia, Rodentia, Caviidae.